AUUUAAGGUUUUUAGAGUAGGUGGGUUAAACUUUAUUAAUCCCAUAGGGAAAUUGAGGUUAUCUGUUGCUCACACAUUAAUUCACAUCCACACAGCAUUAAAAUCGUACAGCUGGAGACAACCAUAAAUGGUACAAGAAUAUAAUAAAUAAAUACAUUACCACUAAAAAGAGGUCUAGU
This is a long non-coding RNA of Xiphophorus couchianus (Monterrey platyfish), 179 nucleotides long. RefSeq lists it as uncharacterized. The record is from RefSeq and is a predicted model, not a curated record. NCBI's taxonomy places the organism in Eukaryota, Metazoa, Chordata, Actinopteri, Cyprinodontiformes, Poeciliidae. The transcript has 3 exons.